Cucurbita maxima (winter squash) is the source of this 380-nucleotide long non-coding RNA. RefSeq lists it as uncharacterized. The transcript has 3 exons. The record is from RefSeq and is a predicted model, not a curated record. NCBI's taxonomy places the organism in Eukaryota, Viridiplantae, Streptophyta, Magnoliopsida, Cucurbitales, Cucurbitaceae.
GUGCCUUCCAAGAUCCGAAUUCGAGAAUCAGCAGAAGUAACCAGCACUUCAGUAGGGCUACCUGGAACAAACUGUUAAGAGUCAGAUGUUCUCAAAUGAUUGAUGCGUAUUUGGUAAAAGAGGCAGAAUGUUACGAAACAAAACCAAAGAUUUGAUGCAAAUGGAGAAUGAGACACCAACCUGGCCAUCAGGCGUAUAGCAAGCGGCGGUGACCAUUUCAUGAAGAUCAGUCCAAUCGACGACAUAUCGAUCAGAAAGAGGAAGAAAAGUGGAAGAGAGGAAAUCAAGGGUUCGUUUACCGUUAUAAUUUUAUUUGGAGAAUAGCGAAACGGUCAACGGUCAACGGUAUUUAUUACAUCUCUGCACGUCUGGUGCUUACU